RNAcentral lists this ribosomal RNA (433 nucleotides) under uncultured bacterium. Its description in RNAcentral is "partial 16S ribosomal RNA". It matches the Rfam family "Bacterial small subunit ribosomal RNA", at positions 29 to 507 of the family's 1533-position model. The record is from RNAcentral.
AGCGAACGCUGGCGGCAGGCCUAACACAUGCAAGUCGAACGGAUCCUUCGGGAUUAGUGGCGGACGGGUGAGUAACACGUGGGAACGUGCCCUUUGGUUCGGAACAACUCAGGGAAACUUGAGCUAAUACCGGAUGUGCCCUUCGGGGGAAAGAUUUAUCGCCAUUGGAGCGGCCCGCGUCUGAUUAGCUAGUUGGUGAGGUAACGGCCCACCAAGGCGACGAUCAGUAGCUGGUCUGAGAGGAUGAUCAGCCACACUGGGACUGAGACACGGCCCAGACUCCUACGGGAGGCAGCAGUGGGGAAUCUUGCGCAAUGGGCGAAAGCCUGACGCAGCCAUGCCGCGUGAAUGAUGAAGGCCUUAGGAUUGUAAAAUUCUUUCAGCGGGGACGAUAAUGACGGUACCCGCAGAAGAAGCUCCGGCUAACUUCGUG